Molecule: unclassified non-coding RNA, 89 nt
Filed under: Pseudomonas sp. A214
Lineage: Bacteria; Pseudomonadati; Pseudomonadota; Gammaproteobacteria; Pseudomonadales; Pseudomonadaceae
Source: RNAcentral
UGUGGGAGCGAGCCUGCUCGCGAUAGCGGUGUGUCAGUCACUUCUAAUCUGGCUGAUCUACCGCUAUCGCGAGCAGGCUCGCUCCCACA